UGCGUCUAGUAAUGCAUUGCCUUGUUGAUCUUGGGUGUAUGCAGUUGUCAUGAGAGCGGAACGAAUCAUUGCUGGUGACCAGUAUGGGUGAGCUCCUUUGAGUAAAGCUGCUAAACCGGAUACAUGUGGACACGACAUAGAUGUUCCUGAAGCAAUAUUGAAUUGGGUGUGGCGUUGGUCAGAUGAUAGCUCAGUAGGUGCCACACCAUCAGGCCAAGCAGCUAAGAUGUUAACUCCAGGUGCAAUCACAUCCGGCUUGAGAACAAAA
This 268-nucleotide unclassified non-coding RNA is filed under the name Hevea brasiliensis (rubber tree). The record is from RNAcentral. Lineage: Eukaryota; Viridiplantae; Streptophyta; Magnoliopsida; Malpighiales; Euphorbiaceae.